This is a non-coding RNA of Pelobates cultripes (western spadefoot toad), 276 nucleotides long. The record is from the annotation of a GenBank genome assembly. Lineage: Eukaryota; Metazoa; Chordata; Amphibia; Anura; Pelobatidae.
AGAAAAAGACAAAACAAUAUAUGCUGAAUGUGCCAGACGGGUACAGACCCCUUGUGACAAAAUAUAAAUGUAGCCCUUAAACUGCCAGAGACCACUAUUUUGAGGAUAACUAAAAGGAGGGCCAAACAAAAGUAUCACCACAAUAUUUUGGAAAAGCCUCUCCUAUAAAACAGAUAUUAUUUUAGUUGUAUAAACAUGUCCACAUUAAUAUUCUAGGUUUUUAAGGCAUUUUGUCAUUCUCCUGAGUAACACCCUGAACACUAUGAAAUAAGGCAG